GGGGGCAUGGCUCAGUGGUAGAGUACUUGCUUACUACAUUCAAUGCCCUGAGUUCAAAUCCCAGUGCCCACU
This 72-nucleotide transfer RNA is filed under the name Dipodomys ordii (Ord's kangaroo rat). It matches the Rfam family "tRNA". From Rfam's summary of the family: Transfer RNA (tRNA) molecules are approximately 80 nucleotides in length. The record is from Rfam by way of RNAcentral. Lineage: Eukaryota; Metazoa; Chordata; Mammalia; Rodentia; Heteromyidae.